GAUGAACGCUGGCGGCGUGCCUAAUACAUGCAAGUCGAGCGAACAGAUGAGGAGCUUGCUCCUCUGACGUUAGCGGCGGACGGGUGAGUAACACAUGGAUAACCUACCUAUAAGACUGGGAUAACUUCGGGAAACCGGAGCUAAUACCGGAUAAUAUAUUGAACCGCAUGGUUCAAUAGUGAAAUACGGUUUUGCUGUCACUUAUAGAUGGAUCCGCGCCGCAUUAGCUAGUUGGUAAGGUAACGGCUUACCAAGGCAACGAUGCGUAGCCGACCUGAGAGGGUGAUCGGCCACACUGGAACUGAGACACGGUCCAGACUCCUACGGGAGGCAGCAGUAGGGAAUCUUCCGCAAUGGGCGAAAGCCUGACGGAGCAACGCCGCGUGAGUGAUGAAGGUCUUCGGAUCGUAAAACUCUGUUAUUAGGGAAGAACAAAUGUGUAAGUAACUAUGCACGUCUUGACGGUACCUAAUCAGAAAGCCACGGCUAACUACGUG
This 497-nucleotide ribosomal RNA is filed under the name uncultured bacterium. RNAcentral's name for it is "partial 16S ribosomal RNA". It matches the Rfam family "Bacterial small subunit ribosomal RNA", at positions 28 to 507 of the family's 1533-position model. The record is from RNAcentral.